Molecule: small nuclear RNA, 74 nt
Filed under: Ictidomys tridecemlineatus (thirteen-lined ground squirrel)
Lineage: Eukaryota; Metazoa; Chordata; Mammalia; Rodentia; Sciuridae
Source: RNAcentral
GAAUGAGUCUGAGAAGAUUAGCAUGGCCUCUGAACAACGAUGAUAUGCAAAUUUGUGAAGUAUUCCAUAUAUAU